GUGGGAGGGGGCUUGCCCCCGAUGGCAGUGUGUCUGUCAGUACAUCUGACACUGACACACCGCCAUCGGGGGCAAGCCCCCUCCCAC
Molecule: unclassified non-coding RNA, 87 nt
Filed under: Pseudomonas libanensis
Lineage: Bacteria; Pseudomonadati; Pseudomonadota; Gammaproteobacteria; Pseudomonadales; Pseudomonadaceae
Source: RNAcentral